GACGAACGCUGGCGGCGUGCCUAAUACAUGCAAGUCGAACGAGAGCGACCGGUGCUUGCACUGGUCAAUCUAGUGGCGAACGGGUGAGUAACACGUGGGUAACCUGCUCAUCAGAGGGGGAUAACAUCCGGAAACGGAUGCUAAAACCGCAUAGGUCUUCGAGCCGCAUGGCUUGAAGAGGAAAAGAGGCGCAAGCUUCUGCUGAUGGAUGGACCCGCGGUGCAUUAGCUAGUUGGUGAGGUAACGGCUCACCAAGGCCGUGAUGCAUAGCCGACCUGAGAGGGUGAUCGGCCACAUUGGGACUGAGACACGGCCCAAACUCCUACGGGAGGCAGCAGUCGGGAAUCUUCCGCAAUGGACGCAAGUCUGACGGAGCAACGCCGCGUGAGUGAAGAAGGUUUUCGGAUCGUAAAACUCUGUUGUUAGAGAAGAACAAGUGCUAGAGUAACUGUUAGCGCCUUGACGGUAUCUAACCAGAAAGCCACGGCUAACUACGUG
This 498-nucleotide ribosomal RNA is filed under the name uncultured bacterium. RNAcentral's name for it is "partial 16S ribosomal RNA". It matches the Rfam family "Bacterial small subunit ribosomal RNA", at positions 28 to 507 of the family's 1533-position model. The record is from RNAcentral.